CUAAGAAUAUUCCGCAAUGGACGAAAGUCUGACGGAGCGACGCCGCGUGGAUGAUGAAGGCCGGAAGGUUGUAAAAUCCUUUUAUGACUGAGGAAUAAGUGAAGUGAGGGAAACGCUUCAUGGUGACUGUAGGUCAUGAAUAAGCAACGGCUAAUUACGUGCCAGCAGCCGCGGUAACACGUAAGUUGCGAGCGUUGUUCGGAAUUAUUGGGUUUAAAGGGAGCGUAGGCCGCCUGGUAAGCGUGUUGUGAAAUGUCGUUGCUCAACAACGUCACUGCAGCGCGAACUGCCGGGCUUGAGUGUGCGGAAAGCGGGCGGAAUUUGUGGUGUAGCGGUGAAAUGCUUAGAUAUCACGAAGAACUCCGAUUGCGAAGGCAGCUCGCUGUAGCAU
Molecule: ribosomal RNA, 391 nt
Filed under: uncultured Treponema sp.
Lineage: Bacteria; Pseudomonadati; Spirochaetota; Spirochaetia; Treponematales; Treponemataceae
Description: bacterial SSU rRNA
Rfam family: Bacterial small subunit ribosomal RNA
Source: RNAcentral